CCUACGGGGGGCUGCAGUGGGGAAUAUUGGACAAUGGGGGGAACCCUGAUCCAGCCAUGCCGCGUGUGUGAAGAAGGCCCUCGGGUUGUAAAGCACUUUCAGUGAGGAAGAACGCCUGGUGGUUAAUACCCAUCAGGAAAGACAUCACUCACAGAAGAAGCACCGGCUAACUCCGUGCCAGCAGCCGCGGUAAUACGGAGGGUGCGAGCGUUAAUCGGAAUUACUGGGCGUAAAGCGCGCGUAGGUGGCUUGAUAAGCCGGUUGUGAAAGCCCCGGGCUCAACCUGGGAACGGCAUCCGGAACUGUCAAGCUAGAGUGCAGGAGAGGAAGGUAGAAUUCCCGGUGUAGCGGUGAAAUGCGUAGAGAUCGGGAGGAGUACCAGUGGCGAAGGCGGCCUUCUGGACUGACACUGACACUGAGGUGCGAAAGCGUGGGUAGCAAACAGGAUUAGAUACCCGUGUAGUC
Molecule: ribosomal RNA, 465 nt
Filed under: Vreelandella stevensii
Lineage: Bacteria; Pseudomonadati; Pseudomonadota; Gammaproteobacteria; Oceanospirillales; Halomonadaceae
Description: partial 16S ribosomal RNA
Rfam family: Bacterial small subunit ribosomal RNA
Source: RNAcentral